UGUAGAUGUUGAUUAUCCCAGGCAAAUCCGGGAUAAGAGUCGAACCUGAUAGUAUACCAAUUUCCCCGGAAAACGGUAAUAGUGCGUGUAAACAUACUCCCAAGAAAAUCCGCUAAACUUAAUCUUAUAGGUACCCGUACCGUAAACGGACACACGUAGUCGGGUUGAAUAUACUCAGGCGCUUGAGUGAAUCACGGUUAAGGAACUAGGCAAAUUGACCCUGUAACUUCGGGAUAAAGGGUCCCUACCCGGUGACGGGAGGGCGCAGAGAAUAGGUCCAGGCAACUGUUUAACAAAAACACAGGGCUGUGCGAAAUUGAAAGAUGAAGUAUACAGCCUGACACCUGCCCGGUGCUGGAAGGUUAAGAGGAGAUGUCAUCGCAAGAGAAGCGUUGAAUUGAAGCCCCAGUAAACGGCGGCCGUAACUAUAACGGUCCUAAGGUAGCGAAAUUCCUUGUCGGGUAAGUUCCGACCUGCACGAAUGGUGUAAUGAUCUGGACACUGUCUCAACCGUGAGCUCAGUGAAAUUGUAGUAUCGGUGAAGAUGCCGAUUACCCGCGAUGGGACGAAAAGACCCCGUGAACCUUUACUAUAGCUUAACAUUGAAUUUGGGUAAUUGAUGUGUAGGAUAGGCCGGAGACUUUGAAGCAGGUACGCCAGUAUUUGUGGAGUCGCUGUUGAAAUACGGCCCUUUGGUUAUUUGAGUUCUAACUCGCUGAUGCGAGGACACUGUUUGGUGGGUAGUUUGACUGGGGUGGUCGCCUCCAAAAGCGUAACGGAGGCUUCUAAAGGUGCCCUCAGACCGAUUGGUAACCGGUCGCAGAGUGUAAUGGCAUAAGGGCGCUUGACUGGGAGAGAUACAACUCGAUCAGGUAGGAAACUAGAGCAUAGUGAUCCGGUGGUUCCGCAUGGAAGGGCCAUCGCUCAAAGGAUAAAAGGUACUCCGGGGAUAACAGGCUGAUCGCUCCCAAGAGCUCAUAUCGACGGAGCGGUUUGGCACCUCGAUGUCGGCUCGUCACAUCCUGGGGCUGGAGAAGGUCCCAAGGGUUGGGCUGUUCGCCCAUUAAAGUGGCACGCGAGCUGGGUUCAGAACGUCGUGAGACAGUUCGGUCCCUAUCUGUUGUGGGCGCAGGAAAUUUGAGGAGAACUGACACUAGUACGAGAGGACCGUGUUGGACAGACCGCUGGUUUAUCAGUUGUUCCGCCAGGGGCAUAGCUGAGUAUCUAAGUCUGGAAAGGAUAAGUGCUGAAAGCAUCUAAGUACGAAGCCAACUUCAAGAUUAGAUUUCCCUGAAGGGUCGUUGCAGACGACGACGUAGAUAGGUUGCAGAUGUAAAGGCGGUAACGUCAAAGUCGAGCAAUACUAAUCACCCGAGACUUUCCGCC
This 1386-nucleotide ribosomal RNA is filed under the name human gut metagenome. Its description in RNAcentral is "bacterial LSU rRNA". It matches the Rfam family "Bacterial large subunit ribosomal RNA", at positions 1517 to 2925 of the family's 2925-position model. The record is from RNAcentral.